Molecule: long non-coding RNA, 852 nt
Organism: Capsicum annuum
Lineage: Eukaryota; Viridiplantae; Streptophyta; Magnoliopsida; Solanales; Solanaceae
Exons: 2
Source: RefSeq, a predicted model, not a curated record
UAUUCGCACUUCUCUCAAUUUAUUUCAAAACAUAAUUUUAUUAAAAGAAAGAUAGAGAUGACUAAUGAAUAUGUAUUGUUCAUUUCAAUUGAUUCAUUUUUUGAACUUCUUUUGUUGUAUUAUCUAACAAGGAAGAUAUUUAGAUCCCAUCCAGCUGCUAUCUAGCUGGCAUAGUAGUUAGUUAGUAGUGGUUUUUAUGUUUCUGUACAGUUAGUCAGUGGAGAGGUUAAGCUUUUGUUUAGCUUAGCUGGAUUAGAGUAGAUAUUUUUGCUUCUUUACCUUUUCUGUAUAAAUACACACAUAUGGAAUACAAUACAGUUAAGCUUUGCAUUUUACAUAUUUUUACAGUUUCUCUAAUUGUUGAGCUCCAUUUUUAAGACCUCCAUUGCAGCAGUUGCCUGAUCUCAAGGCACUGCAUUCUCUACAUCUUGACAUGAUAUCAAAACACUCUCGAUCCUGAGGUGAUUCUCUCUUGAUUCGCAUUACUUUGCUUUCAAUUGGCAUCCCUCUAAUAAUCUUGGAGCUGCAUUGGUACCCAUUCUUUUUGUCUGCAUUGGUUAUCGCUCAUGGAGGAGAAGCAUAUUUUAAUCAUUAUCGGUGAAAAAUAAAUUGGGAUUCAUCACUAGGGAGUGCGCAAAACCUAAUCUCAAUCACCCUAUAUACAGGUUGUGGGUGCGAUGUGAUGAUAUUGUUACUUCAUAUAUUUUGAAUUCUUUGUUGAGAGAAAUUGUAGACAGUGUUGAAUAUGUUACGGACUCUGUAAAACUUUGGCGAGAAUUAGAAGAUAGAUAUGUGCAGGCUAAUCAUGCGAAAUUAUACUAAAUACAAAAGAAAAUUAAUGAUUUGUCUUAA